RNAcentral lists this ribosomal RNA (253 nucleotides) under uncultured bacterium. Its description in RNAcentral is "partial 16S ribosomal RNA". It matches the Rfam family "Bacterial small subunit ribosomal RNA", at positions 524 to 776 of the family's 1533-position model. The record is from RNAcentral.
UACGGAGGAUCCGAGCGUUAUCCGGAUUUAUUGGGUGUAAAGGGUGUGUAGGCGGACUUGUAAGUCAGCUGUGAAAGUUUACGGCUCAACCGUGAACUUGCAUUUGAUACUGUUGGACUUGAGUAUACAUGAGGUGAGCGGAAUUUGUGGUGUAGCGGUGAAAUGCUUAGAUAUCACGAGGAACUCCAGUUGCGAAGGCAGCUUACUGGGGUAUAACUGACGCUGAUGCGCGAAGGUGUGGGGAUCAAACAGG